GGCAUUGGUAACCUGUGGGCUGGGAGGGCUUGGUGAAGUGAUACCUCUGCUGUUCCCUUGGAUUGAAGUGUUCGAAACCAUUUACGUGUGAGCCAUCUUGUGCUGGAGCUUCUUAGCAACCCAAAGAGAUAAUCAUCGCCCGCUGACAACCCCUCGCCAUCCAUCACCCGCGCGCGGCGGCUGUCAGCAGAUCCCAGCCCCUACCUGGGGGGAGAGGCACUGCCACUGAGGCAUCUCACAGCACUGUGCAGCAGGAGGAUGGCAGAUAACUUCAGUCAGCUCGAGAGAUUGAUAUGCAAGGCAAAGGGAAGUGCAUUAAGCUAUUUAACUGCCUGGAAAUCCAGCGUGAUGAACAUCCAAAGGAAAACUUACUUUGUCCAAACCAAGUGCUCAAGUGACAACGAAGUCAAGUGCUUGCAAGGUAGAGAAGGAUAAUUGCUGUACCCUGAAAGGAUGUGUCCGGUCUGUAUUUCACAGAGCUGAAGCUAACUCUGAAGACUUUGGCUUUGAAUGACCUUGCUUAUUUUUCUGGCUCUCCUACCCUUCAGUAUGGCUGCUACCUAUAUACUGUGGAACGAAUGGAGCUGAGGUCAUGGCCCCUGUAGCUGCUCCACGAAAUAUGUCCACUGGGAACUUCACGGAUUGGCCCCCUGCCCCUCCACUGUUGCAAAACGUGCUGAGCCAGAAGUAGGAAAAUAGAAAAUGAUGACUUUAAACUUCACCACACCUAAAAUCACAAAAACAGCCGCCACGAGAGCCGCAUCCCCGUUGCCACGGCUGAGGGUCCCCGCGCUGAGGGGGCCCUGAGGGGCGCUCCCCGCC
Molecule: long non-coding RNA, 822 nt
Organism: Gallus gallus (chicken)
Lineage: Eukaryota; Metazoa; Chordata; Aves; Galliformes; Phasianidae
Source: Ensembl